GACGAACGCUGGCGGCGUGCUUAACACAUGCAAGUCGAACGGAAAGGCCCUGCUUGCAGGGUACUCGAGUGGCGAACGGGUGAGUAACACGUGGGUGAUCUGCCCUGCACUUCGGGAUAAGCCUGGGAAACUGGGUCUAAUACCGGAUAGGAGCCAUUUUUAGUGUGAUGGUUGGAAAGUUUUUUCGGUGUAGGAUGAGCUCGCGGCCUAUCAGCUUGUUGGUGGGGUAAUGGCCUACCAAGGCGGCGACGGGUAGCCGGCCUGAGGGGGUGGACGGCCACAUUGGGACUGAGAUACGGCCCAGACUCCUACGGGAGGCAGCAGUGGGGAAUAUUGCACAAUGGGCGCAAGCCUGAUGCAGCGAGGCCGCGUGGGGGAUGACGGCCUUCGGGUUGUAAACUCCUUUCGCUAGGGACGAAGCUUUUUGUGACGGUACCUAGAUAAGAAGCACCGGCUAACUACGUG
This 465-nucleotide ribosomal RNA is filed under the name uncultured bacterium. RNAcentral's name for it is "partial 16S ribosomal RNA". It matches the Rfam family "Bacterial small subunit ribosomal RNA", at positions 28 to 507 of the family's 1533-position model. The record is from RNAcentral.